AUGCUUCCUUCUCUUAAAGUGCUUCGCUUGUCCGACUGUGGACUCAAUGGUACCAUGUCUGCUAGUAUAUCAAUUUCCAACCUCACACAUCUCGAGGCCCUUGAUAUGAAUUAUAACACCUUCUACACUUCACUCAAGCACGCGUGGUUUUGGAAUCUCACGGGCCUUAAAGAGCUUCACCUCUCAGAUACCGGCUUGGAAGGGUCAAUUCCUAGUGAGUUGGCAAACAUGACGUCCCUUCAAGUCAUAGACUUCAGUGAGAAUGAUCUCGUGGGUUUGAUACCAAACAAAUUAGAAAAUUUGUGCAAUUUGACAAGGAUGAGGUUCAAUGGUAACAACAUAGGUUCAAGCAUAGGGGAGUUCAUGGGGCGUUUGCCAAAGUGCUCAUGGAACACACUGCAAGAAUUGUCAGUGUGGGGUGGAAAUAUGUCGGGGAAUCUGCCCAUUUGGAUAGGGAACAUGACCAAUCUUAGUGUUCUUGAAGCAUCUCAAAACAUGUUGACUGGCCCUCUGCCUGUAGGAGUUGGAGGACUGGGUAAUUUGAAAAUGUUGGACCUCAGGUACAAUAACUUCAAUGGUGUUCUCUUGAAAGAACAUUUUGCAAGCUUAGGAAAAUUAGAGGCUUUGUGCCUCAGCUACAAUAACUUCAACGGUGUGCUCUAUAAAGAACAAUUUGCAAGCUUAGGCAAAUUAGAGGUAUUGGACUUCAGCCACAAUAAGUUCAGCGGUGUGCUCUUUAAAGAACAAUUUGCAAGCUUAGGCAAAUUAGAGGUAUUGGACUUCAGCCACAAUAACUUCAACGAUUGA
This 807-nucleotide ribosomal RNA is filed under the name Triticum aestivum (bread wheat). Its description in RNAcentral is "partial small subunit ribosomal RNA". Lineage: Eukaryota; Viridiplantae; Streptophyta; Magnoliopsida; Poales; Poaceae. The record is from RNAcentral.